This 448-nucleotide ribosomal RNA is filed under the name uncultured bacterium. RNAcentral's name for it is "bacterial SSU rRNA". It matches the Rfam family "Bacterial small subunit ribosomal RNA", at positions 92 to 518 of the family's 1533-position model. The record is from RNAcentral.
AGAGCGGCGGACGGGUGAGUAACACGUGGACAAUCUCGCCCCCCGGCCCGGGAUAGCCCAGGGAAACCUGGAUUAAUACCGGAUGAGACGGGACCCGCGAUGGCGGGAUCCGGGAAAGGCGCUGCGGCGCCGCCGGGGGAUGAGUCUGCCGUCCCAUUAGCUAGACGGCGGGGUAACGGCCCACCGUGGCGACGAUGGGUAGCCGGCCUGAGAGGGUGGACGGCCACAUUGGAACUGAGACACGGUCCAGACUCCUACGGGAGGCAGCAGCUAAGAAUCUUCCGCAAGUGGGACGAAAGCCUGACGGAGCGAACCGCCGCGUGAACGAAGAAGGCCGUGGAGGUUAGUAAAGUUCGUUUUCGGGAGGGGGAACAACCGUGGCAGGGAAUGGCCGCGGGAUGACGUGAAUCCCGGAAUAAGCCCCGGCUAACUACGUGCCAGCCGCCGC